UCUACGGGUGGCAGCAGUGAGGAAUAUUGGUCAAUGGCCGAGAGGCUGAACCAGCCAAGUCGCGUGAGGGAAGACGGCCCUACGGGUUGUAAACCUCUUUUGUCGGGGAGCAAAGCGAACCACGUGUGGUUCAUUGAGAGUACCCGACGAAAAAGCAUCGGCUAACUCCGUGCCAGCCGCCGCGGUAAUACGGGGGAUGCGAGCGUUAUCCGGAUUUAAUGGGUGUCAAGGGUGCGCAGGGGGAAGAUCAAGUCAGCGGUAAAAUUGAGAGGCUCAACCUCUUCGAGCCGUUGAAACUGGUUUUCUUGAGUGAUCGAGAAGUAUGCGGAAUGCGUGGUGUAGCGGGGAAAUGCAGAGAUAUCACGCAGAACUCCGAUUGCGAAGGCAGCAUACCGGCGCUCAACUGACGCUCAUGCACGAAAGUGUGGGUAUCGAACAGGAUUAGAUACCCUUGUAGUC
This 459-nucleotide ribosomal RNA is filed under the name uncultured bacterium. Its description in RNAcentral is "partial 16S ribosomal RNA". It matches the Rfam family "Bacterial small subunit ribosomal RNA", at positions 338 to 795 of the family's 1533-position model. The record is from RNAcentral.